RNAcentral lists this ribosomal RNA (253 nucleotides) under uncultured bacterium. Its description in RNAcentral is "partial 16S ribosomal RNA". It matches the Rfam family "Bacterial small subunit ribosomal RNA", at positions 524 to 776 of the family's 1533-position model. The record is from RNAcentral.
UACGUAGGAUGCAAGCGUUGUCCGGAAUUAUUGGGCGUAAAGAGCGCGCAGGCGGUUUUACAAGUCAGAUGUGAAAUAUCCGGGCUUAACCCGGAGGGGUCAUUUGAAACUGUAAGACUAGAGUACAGCAGAGGAUAGCGGAAUUCCCGGUGUAGUGGUGAAAUGCGUAGAUAUCGGGAGGAACACCAGUGGCGAAGGCGGCUAUCUGGGCUGAAACUGACGCUGAGGCGCGAGAGCGUGGGGAGCAAACAGG